Molecule: long non-coding RNA, 1965 nt
Filed under: Sus scrofa (pig)
Lineage: Eukaryota; Metazoa; Chordata; Mammalia; Artiodactyla; Suidae
Description: lncRNA (ENSSSCG00055029251.1)
Source: RNAcentral
AUCCAUGGCUACAUGCAAAACCACUCCAAAAUGUAGUGGUUUCAGCAACAACGGCAUUUACUUCGCUCAUGCAUCUGCAGUUACGGACCCGCUCAGUGGAGAUGGCCCGGAUUUGCUCCACCCUGUGUCAGCUGGGGAGACGCACAGAUCUUGAAAAUAUAGUUGGAUGAAUUUCAACAAAUAAGCGCACCUGUGUAACCAACCCUUAAACUGUGUUAAGUGGUGUCCAAAGAGCUGCCAACAGUCCCUUCUUUCCCUCGAUGUGUCCUGUCCCUCCCAUCGACAAACAGAGUCUCUUUCUCCUGGAGACGUCUUGAGACUUCAUUUGACCCAUAGAAUAUGGCAGAAGUGAAGCUCGGCUGGUUCCAGAGCUACCCCUUAAGAAGGCUGCUGCUGUGUCUACCUGGUGUAAGAAAACAGUCCAGACAACUGGCAACCCCCUAGACCUUACAGAGGGGCACCGAACCACCCAAACCAACCUGGCCUGAAGGGCAGAAUUGCACCAGUAUUUUAAGGCGCCGAAUGUUGAUACAAAAAAGGAGAUUCAGGACAUCUCACCACCACAAAGCAUCUCCUCAUGAUCAUGGGCAGUCAAUCCCUGUGGACCCUCUCGGCUAAAUGUCUGCCAUAUUUCUACCCCCGUAGGCUAGUUGUGCUCAUUCUGAAACUUUAAAUACACUUCAUGUGAUCUUUUACAUGAAGGGAGUGAUGCAAUUUACUUUUUUUAUGUGAUUUAUUUCACUUAAUAUAACAUCUCUGAUAUUCAUCCACAGCUUAGGUUAUUAUUUUUUAUUGUUGUGUAGUAUUCUAUAAGUAUACCAACAUCUGUUUAUAUAUUCUCUUAAUAAUAAACAUUUGGAAGUAUCUAUAUGUAUAUGUGUAACUGGAUCACCAUGCUGUACAGUAGAAAAUUGAUAGAACACUGUAAACCAGCGAUAAUGAAAAAAAAACAUUAUAUAUAUAUAUAUAAAAAAAUAAACAUUUGGAUCAUUUCUAGUUUUUGACUAGAAUCAGUAAGGCUGCUCUGAAGAUUCUGAUACACGUGUUUUUGUGGGCAUGUGUUAUCAUUUCUCUUCUGUAAACAGUGAUAAGUUCCUAGGAUAAAUGGAUGUUUAACAUUUGAAGAAACUGCUUAAAGGGUCCCCAAAAUGGUUGUGCCACUUCACCCUUCCCCCCAAAAUUAAUUGGUCAUAUAUUUAGGAGUCUACUUUUGGGUUUUUUUUUUUUUACAUCUUUUUUUUAGGGUCACACCCAUAGCAUAUGGAGGUCCCCAGGUGAGGGGUUGAAUCGAGCUAUAGCUGCUUGCCUACACCACAACCAGAGAAAUGGGGGAUCCAAGCCACGUCUGUGACCUGUGGUGUGCUAAUCCACCCCCCCCCCCCCAGAAUGUGUGAGAUCUGGGGCCACACAUCCUUAUCGUUAUCUGGAGUAGUCAAGGCUUUAGUUUCACUCUUUCUAAUAGAAGUGAGUUGACUUUAUUGUAGUUUCAAUUUAUGGUUCUUAGGUGAGCAAUAUUUUUUUCCCUUAAAUUAUUUUUUCCUGCAUGUAUGGAGGAUGAUUAAAUAAUUUAUCUCUUUUAGCCUGUAAAUAUGGCAAAUUCUAUUGAUUUUCAAACUUAAGCAAGCCAUGCCUUCUCAAGAUAAAUCCGUCUUGCAGGUUUCCCUUGUGACUCAGUAGUAACAAAUCUGACUAGUAACCAUGAGGAUACAGGUUCGAUCCCUGGCCCCACUCAGUGGGUUAAGGAUCCAGCAUUGCCACAAGCUGCAGUGUAGUUCACAGAGGAGGCUCAGAUCUGGCGUCUCCGUGACUAUGGUGUAGGCCAGCAGCUGUAGCUCUGAUUCAACCCCCAGCCUGGUACUUCCAUAUGUUGCAAGUGUGGCCCUCGGGGGUGGGGGUGGGGAAUAAAUCUCUCUUGAUCAUUUUUUUAAAUGUGUUUCUAUAUUUGAUUUGCAAAAAAAAAAAAAA